UACGUAGGGGGCGAGCGUUGUCCGAAGUUACUGGGCGUAAAGCGCGCGUAGGCGGGUUGGCAAGUCUGCUGUGAAAGCCCGGGGCUUAACUCCGGAGGGUCGGUGGAUACUGCCAGUCUUGAAGGUGCUAGGGAGAGAUGGAAUUACCGGUGUAGCGGUGAAAUGCGUAGAUAUCGUAAGGAAGACCAGUGGCGAAGGCGAGUCUCUGGGCCGAUAUUGACGCUGAGGAGCGAAAGCGUGGGGAGCGAACAGG
RNAcentral lists this ribosomal RNA (253 nucleotides) under uncultured bacterium. Its description in RNAcentral is "partial 16S ribosomal RNA". It matches the Rfam family "Bacterial small subunit ribosomal RNA", at positions 524 to 776 of the family's 1533-position model. The record is from RNAcentral.